This 253-nucleotide ribosomal RNA is filed under the name uncultured bacterium. RNAcentral's name for it is "partial 16S ribosomal RNA". It matches the Rfam family "Bacterial small subunit ribosomal RNA", at positions 524 to 776 of the family's 1533-position model. The record is from RNAcentral.
UACAGAGGUCUCAAGCGUUGUUCGGAUUCAUUGGGCGUAAAGGGUGCGUAGGCGGCGCGGUAAGUCGGGUGUGAAAUCCUGCGGCUUAACCGCAGGGCUGCCUUCUAAACUGUCGAGCUCGAGCACGGUAGAGGCAGAUGGAAUUCCCGGUGUAGCGGUGGAAUGCGUAGAGAUGUGGAGGAACACCGAUGGCGAAGGCAGCCCCCUGGGCUAACACUGACGCUCAUGCACGAAAGCGUGGGGAGCAAACAGG